GCGCUCGUAGCUCAGCUGGAUAGAGCGUUUGGCUACGAACCAAAAGGUCGGGGGUUCGAAUCCCUCCGAGCGUA
RNAcentral lists this transfer RNA (74 nucleotides) under bacterium. RNAcentral's name for it is "tRNA-Arg". It matches the Rfam family "tRNA". Rfam says of the family: Transfer RNA (tRNA) molecules are approximately 80 nucleotides in length. Their secondary structure includes four short double-helical elements and three loops (D, anti-codon, and T loops). RNAcentral also lists the same sequence under 1 other name. The record is from RNAcentral.